Molecule: long non-coding RNA, 490 nt
Organism: Solea solea (common sole)
Lineage: Eukaryota; Metazoa; Chordata; Actinopteri; Pleuronectiformes; Soleidae
Exons: 3
Source: RefSeq, a predicted model, not a curated record
CACGCGCACGACACCAAUUAAGCUACGUUAUCUUUGAGGCGAGGUCGUCGAUGACCCAAAGCGGCUCAAAUGCGUUUAACUUCGUUUGUGAUUCACUUAGAAAUGGAUUUAAGAAAAACAAGCGACCAGGUGACCUGAUGUCGGUGAGUCAACAACAGGGUGGAGAUGUAAUGCUCUGCAUACACAAAUGUAUAGGCUUGAUGGGGUGUCCAGAUGGAACACAAACCGGGCUCAGCAGACUCUGAAUAUGAGUGUUACAUCACACACAAGGAUUUAUGACGUUUGUCUGAUGUCCAGUGUGAAUGUCCUCAGCAACAGAGUCACACUUCCGCCAGAGUUUACACCCCCGGGGAAACCUACCGGUGAGCUUAUUGCGGUGGAGCACUUGCUGGCCCAGUCCAAUAGAGGAGAUCUGCCAGGGAUGCUGGAGGGAGUUCAGGAGGAUGAGUCUCCUGAUGUGACAAUACUUCACUGAUAUUCUUUUCCAGUC